RNAcentral lists this non-coding RNA (26 nucleotides) under Homo sapiens (human). Lineage: Eukaryota; Metazoa; Chordata; Mammalia; Primates; Hominidae. The record is from RNAcentral.
UGAUUGGGGUUCACUGCUACACUGCA